RNAcentral lists this ribosomal RNA (117 nucleotides) under uncultured bacterium. RNAcentral describes it as "partial 16S ribosomal RNA". It matches the Rfam family "Bacterial small subunit ribosomal RNA", at positions 1366 to 1482 of the family's 1533-position model. The record is from RNAcentral.
UAACGUUCCCGGGUCUUGUACACACCGCCCGUCACACCAUGGGAGCGGGUUUUACCAGAAGUAGGUAGCUUAACCGCAAGGGGGCGCUUACCACGGUAGGAAUUCGUGACUGGGGUG